GGGACGUAGAAGAUGAAUGCCGGAGCAAACGCGAUAAGCACCCUACGCGGGAAUUACGCUCGCAAGACUAAAACUCAAACGAAUGGACGCGGUACCGCCCAAGCAGCGGAGCGUGUGGUUCACUUCGAUGAUACACGAAGAACCUGACAUGGAUUUGACAUGUACGUGGUACGAAGGUGAAAUCAUAAGGCCCCUUUGUGGAGAGUACCCAGAUGCUUCAUUGCUGUCAUCAGCUCACACUCUGAAAAGUCUCAUUAAGUCCCGUAACGAGCGCAACCCUUGCCCUUAGUUACAAGUGUCUAAGGGGACUGCCGGCGGGAAGCCGGAGGAAGGUGGGGAUGACGUCAAGUCAGCAUGGCCAUUAUGUCCAGGGCUACACACACGCUACAAUGGUCAGUACAAAGGGUAUAGAAGUCGCGAGGCGGAGCGAAUCUCAACAAACAGGAUCGUAGUUCGGAUCGUCGGUUGCAACCCAUCUGCAUGAAGAGGGAGUUGAUCGUAACCGAGCGUCAGCCAUACUGCGGUGAAUACGUACCCGGGGCUGGUACACACCGCCCGUCACGUCCAGGGAGUCGGUUACUCCUGAAACCAAUAGUAUGGCCUCCAAGGGAGGACCAUGUGGAAGGCGGGACUGCCAACUGGGACGAAGUCCUAACUAG
RNAcentral lists this ribosomal RNA (659 nucleotides) under uncultured organism. Its description in RNAcentral is "bacterial SSU rRNA". It matches the Rfam family "Bacterial small subunit ribosomal RNA", at positions 826 to 1495 of the family's 1533-position model. The record is from RNAcentral.